This 1507-nucleotide long non-coding RNA is filed under the name Astyanax mexicanus (Mexican tetra). RNAcentral describes it as "lncRNA (ENSAMXG00005001384.1)". The record is from RNAcentral. Lineage: Eukaryota; Metazoa; Chordata; Actinopteri; Characiformes; Acestrorhamphidae.
GUCCCCCAGCAGAUGGUCCGACCACACCCCCAGUCAACCUUCGCCCAUCAGCCUGUCACCGAACCCCCCCACCUUCAGCUACUCGCCGGUCUACGCCACCAUCGGCUCUCCUGGGCACAGUUCCCCCGCUUCCCUCUCUGCCCCUUCCCCCAUCUCUGCCACCCUCCCUAAAAUCCAUCCCAUCUCCAAACCCCCCCGGCGCAGACCCGGCCUGCCCCCGCCCCGCGCCCCCAGCCCUCAGCCUCUGGAACACACUGGUGCAGAGGAGAACAUGGCCACAGAUUCUUUGAGCAUCCAGUAUCUACCCAUCAUCAACGUUCAGCCAGACGUUAUUCCGGACAAGAUCUCUGGCACCCCCUUCAGGAUUUCUGUGACACCAUGUGAAUCGGAGGAGGAGAGCACUCAACUUUAAACUGAGCAGAGAUUAAACUCUCUGACUAUCCAUCUAUUUGUUGCCACCACUAUACAGAAAACUACUGCUGCUUCUGGACCACUGCUAAAGAGAGCCACCUCCCAAAAAAAACUUUUUAAACACCUUUCCAAACCUCUCCAAACACCUGCCCAAAACACCUCUCAAAACACCUUCUACACACCCUCUUAACACUCCCCAAACACAUACACUAAGCCCCCUCAACAACCCCAACAACAAACACUCCCAAUACCUCCUCCAAAAUCCCAAACACCUCCUUCAAACACUCAUCUAGCACCUAUGCAAAAAAACCCUCAUCCACCCCAAACUCUUUUUUACAAUAACCCUACAAAAACACCCUUCAAAACUUCUCCAAACACUUUUCUAACACCUCCCCAACACUCCCAAACUCUAAACCUUUUCAAACACACCCCAAACUCACAUCCAGUACCCUCCUAACACACCCAACCCCCCGGCAAACUCCUCUCCAAACAUUCCCCCAAAAAACUCCAUUCAACACCUCUCCAAACACUCCUCCAAACGCUCCGUCAGACACUUCUCAGCGCCCCGUUCUUACUGUAGGAAUGUUAUUACACAGCGAAUGUGUUCAACAAGAGAAUCAUUAAUUGAUUUGUGGAAUUAAUGAACAAAACUUUAGUGUUAUGAAUGUUUUAUGUAUUUAUGUAAAAAAAUGUCAUGUCUAAUGAUCAAUUGUAAAUUAUGUAGAAACACUGGGCCAAUGAAGUGUAGUGGUGUAAUGAUCUUCAGAUGAUCGCUGCAGUCAAGACAAAUCAAAUCAAUUUUUAUUGUCAAUAAUGCAUAUAUGUACAGGACAUACAGAGGAUUGAAAUUACAUUACUGUUCUUCCAAAAAUUAUAACUCUAAAAGAAUGAGAGACACUAAAUGUACAAAAAACAAUAAGGACAAACCAACUCCAUCAAACAGUUCCUUUAAAUUAUAAAAAAAUGUGUGCCAUAGGUCUCUGUUUUAGGACCAUCACAGAUCCUCCUAAACCUACCGCCAACUUUAAUGCAGUUCAUGAACAACAAUAAUCUACAGGGGUUGGACAAUAAAACGGCAACACCUGGUUUUAGACCA